Molecule: ribosomal RNA, 477 nt
Filed under: uncultured Rhodocyclaceae bacterium
Lineage: Bacteria; Pseudomonadati; Pseudomonadota; Betaproteobacteria; Rhodocyclales; Rhodocyclaceae
Description: bacterial SSU rRNA
Rfam family: Bacterial small subunit ribosomal RNA
Source: RNAcentral
AAAGGAAUUGACGGGACCGCACAAGCGGUGGAUGAUUGUGGAUUAAUUCGAUGCAACGCGAAAACCUUACUACCCUUGACAUGUCCGGAAUCCCGAAGAGAUUUGGGAGUGCUCGCAAGAGAACCGGAACACAGGUGCUGCAUGGCUGUCGUCAGCUCGUGUCGUGAGAUGUUGGGUUAAGUCCCGCAACGAGCGCAACCCUUGUCAUUAGUUGCCAUCAUUUGGUUGGGCACUCUAAUGAGACUGCCGGUGACAAACCGGAGGAAGGUGGGGAUGACGUCAAGUCCUCAUGGCCCUUAUGGGUAGGGCUUCACACGUCAUACAAUGGUCGGUACAGAGGGUUGCCAACCCGCGAGGGGGAGCUAAUCCCACAAAGCCGAUCGUAGUCCGGAUCGCAGUCUGCAACUCGACUGCGUGAAGUCGGAAUCGCUAGUAAUCGUGGAUCAGCAUGUCACGGUGAAUACGUUCCCGGGUCUU